AUUGAACGCUGGCGGCAUGCCUAACACAUGCAAGUCGAACGAGUGGCGGACGGGUGAGUAGUUUCUGGGAAACUGCCUGAUGGAGGGGUAUAACUACUGUAAACGGUGGCUAAUACUGCAUACCAUCAGAUGUGCCCAGAUGGGAGUAGCUAGGUGGUGGGGUAACGGCUCACCAAGGCGACGAUCCCUAGCUGGUCUGAGAGGAUGACCAGCCACACUGGAACUGAGACACGGUCCAGACUCCUACGGGAGGCAGCAGUGGGGAAUAUUGCACAAUGGGCGAAAGCCUGAUGGAGCAACGCCGCGUGUAUGAAGAAGGCCUUCGGGUCGUAAAGUACUUUUAGCGGGGAGGCGGUACCUGCAGAAGAAGCACCGGCUAACUCCGUGCCAGCAGCCGCGGUAAUUC
RNAcentral lists this ribosomal RNA (406 nucleotides) under uncultured bacterium. Its description in RNAcentral is "partial 16S ribosomal RNA". It matches the Rfam family "Bacterial small subunit ribosomal RNA", at positions 30 to 526 of the family's 1533-position model. The record is from RNAcentral.